Molecule: non-coding RNA, 72 nt
Organism: Stegostoma tigrinum
Lineage: Eukaryota; Metazoa; Chordata; Chondrichthyes; Orectolobiformes; Stegostomatidae
Source: the annotation of a RefSeq genome assembly
GGCACAGUGGCCAAGUGGGAAGGCAUUGGUCUCGUAAACCAAAGAUCGUGGGUUCAAUCCCCACCUGUGCCU